UGCAAGUCGAACGAAACUUUCUUACACCGAAUGCUUGCAUUCACCGUAAGAAGUUGAGUGGCGGACGGGUGAGUAACACGUGGGUAACCUGCCUAAAAGAAGGGGAUAACACUUGGAAACAGGUGCUAAUACCGUAUAUAUCUAAGGAUCGCAUGAUCCUUAGAUGAAAGAUGGUUCUGCUAUCGCUUUUAGAUGGACCCGCGGCGUAUUAACUAGUUGGUGGGGUAACGGCCUACCAAGGUGAUGAUACGUAGCCGAACUGAGAGGUUGAUCGGCCACAUUGGGACUGAGACACGGCCCAAACUCCUACGGGAGGCAGCAGUAGGGAAUCUUCCACAAUGGACGCAAGUCUGAUGGAGCAACGCCGCGUGAGUGAAGAAGGUCUUCGGAUCGUAAAACUCUGUUGUUAGAGAAGAACACGAGUGAGAGUAACUGUUCAUUCGAUGACGGUAUCUAACCAGCAAGUCACGGCUAACUACGUGCCAGCAGCCGCGGUAAUACGUAGGUGGCAAGCGUUGUCCGGAUUUAUUGGGCGUAAAGGGAACGCAGGCGGUCUUUUAAGUCUGAUGUGAAAGCCUUCGGCUUAACCGGAGUAGUGCAUUGGAAACUGGAAGACUUGAGUGCAGAAGAGGAGAGUGGAACUCCAUGUGUAGCGGUGAAAUGCGUAGAUAUAUGGAAGAACACCAGUGGCGAAAGCGGCUCUCUGGUCUGUAACUGACGCUGAGGUUCGAAAGCGUGGGUAGCAAACAGGAUUAGAUACCCUGGUAGUCCACGCCGUAAACGAUGAAUGCUAGGUGUUGGAGGGUUUCCGCCCUUCAGUGCCGCAGCUAACGCAAUAAGCAUUCCGCCUGGGGAGUACGACCGCAAGGUUGAAACUCAAAGGAAUUGACGGGGGCCCGCACAAGCGGUGGAGCAUGUGGUUUAAUUCGAAGCAACGCGAAGAACCUUACCAGGUCUUGACAUCCUUUGACCACCUAAGAGAUUAGGCUUUCCCUUCGGGGACAAAGUGACAGGUGGUGCAUGGCUGUCGUCAGCUCGUGUCGUGAGAUGUUGGGUUAAGUCCCGCAACGAGCGCAACCCUUGUUGUCAGUUGCCAGCAUUAAGUUGGGCACUCUGGCGAGACUGCCGGUGACAAAUCGGAGGAAGGUGGGGACGACGUCAAGUCAUCAUGCCCCUUAUGACCUGGGCUACACACGUGCUACAAUGGACGGUACAACGAGUCGCGAGACCGCGAGGUUUAGCUAAUCUCUUAAAGCCGUUCUCAGUUCGGAUUGUAGGCUGCAACUCGCCUACAUGAAGUCGGAAUCGCUAGUAAUCGCGAAUCAGCAUGUCGCGGUGAAUACGUUCCCGGGCCUUGUACACACCGCCCGUCACACCAUGAGAGUUUGUAACACCCAAAGCCGGUGGGGUAACCGCAAGGAGCCAGCCGUCUAAG
Molecule: ribosomal RNA, 1435 nt
Filed under: Ligilactobacillus salivarius
Lineage: Bacteria; Bacillati; Bacillota; Bacilli; Lactobacillales; Lactobacillaceae
Description: bacterial SSU rRNA
Rfam family: Bacterial small subunit ribosomal RNA
Source: RNAcentral